This 545-nucleotide long non-coding RNA is filed under the name Taeniopygia guttata (zebra finch). Its description in RNAcentral is "lncRNA (ENSTGUG00000026098.1)". Lineage: Eukaryota; Metazoa; Chordata; Aves; Passeriformes; Estrildidae. The record is from RNAcentral.
CGGCUGUGCCCGAGCGGCGGCAGCAGCAGCCGCGCCGGCAGGAGCAGCGCCGGCGGCUUGGCCACAGCGGCGGCACCGGGGCCGCUCGCUCCGCACGCCUCGGUGCCCGGAGCCGCCCUGCCCGGCGCUGCCCGGCGACGGGAGGGCGGAGGUGCUCCUCGGCGGGCGCGGCGGGGAGGGGGCGGUGCCGUGUUGCCGCUGCCGCGGAGCGGAACGGAGCUGCUGCAUCCUCAUCCCCAUCCUCAUCCUCACCUCCCCUCCCUCGGCGCGACCCUGCCGGCUCCCCCCGCCCAGGGGGGCGGGAAGGCAGCGGGCGCUGCCCGCGGUCGCGGCGCGCCCCGAAGUGGCUCCGCACGGCGUUUCCCCCACCCCGCCCGCUGCCGCCGAUAAAUCCCAGCGCCGGGAGCAGCGCGGCACUCGGCGGCUGCCGCGCUGCGGGGAGGCGGCGGAGCUCGGCCCCCUCCCCGCGGCGGACACCCCCAACAGGGGCUACAGGAGCCGCGGCCGCCGGGCUCAGAAAUCAUGAAGAUAAGUUUCGUGAGUGA